UGAGCAAUCUGCCCUUCUCAUCGGAAUAAGCGUUGGAAACGACGUCUAAUGCCGAAUACGACCUCCUUUCGCAUGAUCGGAGGUGGAAAGCUCCGGCGGAGAAGGAUGAGCUCGCGGCCUAUCAGCUAGUUGGUGUGGGUAAUGGCCCACCAAGGCGACGACGGGUAGCCGGCCUGAGAGGGUGACCGGCCACACUGGGACUGAGACACGGCCCAGACUCCGUAGGAG
RNAcentral lists this ribosomal RNA (228 nucleotides) under uncultured bacterium. RNAcentral's name for it is "partial 16S ribosomal RNA". It matches the Rfam family "Bacterial small subunit ribosomal RNA", at positions 118 to 347 of the family's 1533-position model. The record is from RNAcentral.